CGGGAACAGCUCAAAUUUUGAAAUCUGGCGGUCUAUGGCCGUCCGAGUUGUAGAUUAACGAGGUGUCGUCCGCGCCGGACCGCGUACAAGUCCCUUGGAACAGGGCAUCAGAGAGGGUGAGAAUCCCGUCCUUGACGCGGACUACCGGGGCUUUUGUGAU
This 160-nucleotide ribosomal RNA is filed under the name Auriculariales sp. RNAcentral describes it as "partial large subunit ribosomal RNA". It matches the Rfam family "Eukaryotic large subunit ribosomal RNA", at positions 99 to 250 of the family's 3401-position model. Lineage: Eukaryota; Fungi; Basidiomycota; Agaricomycetes; Auriculariales. The record is from RNAcentral.